Molecule: ribosomal RNA, 253 nt
Filed under: uncultured bacterium
Lineage: Bacteria
Description: partial 16S ribosomal RNA
Rfam family: Bacterial small subunit ribosomal RNA
Source: RNAcentral
UACGUAGGGGGCAAGCGUUGUCCGGAAUCAUUGGGCGUAAAGAGCGCGUAGGCGGCCCUGUAAGUCCGCUGUGAAAGUCAAGGGCUCAACCCUUGGAUGCCGGUGGAUACUGCAGGGCUAGAGUCCGGAAGAGGCGAGUGGAAUUCCUGGUGUAGCGGUGGAAUGCGCAGAUAUCAGGAGGAACACCAACGGCGAAGGCAGCUCGCUGGGACGGUACUGACACUGAGGCGCGAAAGCGUGGGGAGCGAACAGG